UUACAGCAAACUAUUUAAAUUUUAAUUCCGAAUUAAAGAAUAAUUUGUUUUCGUUUUCAAUUCAAUUCGAUGCGCGAAUCCGUGUAUUUUUAAAUUUAAACAAAUUCAAAUGAAACCGAACUUUAAUUUUGAAACGAGACAAAUUAACCUUGAACUUGAAUGCGCUUUUACGACCGGUUUAAUUUAUUUAUUAAAUUUUAAUUUGAAUUUAAAUCAAAUUUAUUCAAGUACUUGAAAUAAUUUAAUUGCAAUCAGGGGCCGGUUUAUAGCAAGCGCCGGUUAAUUUGUUUUCGUUUUCAAUUCAAUUCGAGGCGCGAAUCCGUGUAUUUUUAAAUUUAAACAAAUUCAAAUGAAAACGAACUUUAAUUUUGAAACGAGACAAAUUAACCUUGAACUUGAAUGCGCUUUUACGACCGGUUUAAUUUAUUUAUUAAAUUUUAAUUUGAAUUUAAAUCAAAUUUAUUCAAGUACUUGAAAUAAUUUGAUUGUAAUUACGACCGGUUUACAGCAAGCGAUUUAAAUUUAAUUCAGAAUUAUUUUAAUUCGUUUCGUUUCACGUUUUACGAUUCAGUUGACUGCGUAAUUAAAGGCCGGCUUACAGCAAACGAUUUAAAUUUUAAUUCCGAAUUAAAGAAUAAUUUGUUUUCGUUUUCAAUUCAAUUCGGGACGCGAAUCCGUGUAUUUUUAAAUUUAAACAAAUUCAAAUGAAAACAAUCUUUAAUUUUGAAACGAGACAAAUUAACCUUGAACUUGAAUGCGCUUUCACGGCCGGUUUAAUUUAUUUAUUAAAUUUUAAUUUGAAUUUAAAUCAAAUUUAUUCAAGUAUUCGAAAUAAUUUACUUGCAAUCCGGGGCCGGUUUACAGCAAGCGGUUUAAAUUUUAAUUCCGAAUUAAAGAAUAAUUUGUUUUCGUUUUCAAUUCAAUUCGAGGCGCGAAUCCGUGUAUUUUUAAAUUUAAACAAAUUCAAAUGAAACCGAACUUUAAUUUUGAAACGAGACAAAUUAACCUCGAACUUGAAUGCGCUUUCACGGCCGGUUUAAUUUAUUUAUUAAAUUUUAAUUUGAAUUUAAAUCAAAUUUAUUCAAGUACUUGAAAUAAUUUGAUUGUAAUUACGACCGGUUUACAGCAAGCGAUUUAAAUUUAAUUCAGAAUUAUUUUAAUUCGUUUCGUUUCACGUUUUACGAUUCAGUUGACUGCGUAAUUAAAGGCCGGCUUACAGCAAACGAUUUAAAUUUUAAUUCCGAAUUAAAGAAUAAUUUGUUUUCGUUUUCAAUUCAAUUCGGGACGCGAAUCCGUGUAUUUUUAAAUUUAAACAAAUUCAAAUGAAAACAAUCUUUAAUUUUGAAACGAGACAAAUUAACCUUGAACUUGAAUGCGCUUUCACGGCCGGUUUAAUUUAUUUAUUAAAUUUUAAUUUGAAUUUAAAUCAAAUUUAUUCAAGUAUUCGAAAUAAUUUACUUGCAAUCCGGGGCCGGUUUACAGCAAGCGGUUUAAAUUUUAAUUCCGAAUUAAAGAAUAAUUUGUUUUCGUUUUCAAUUCAAUUCGAGGCGCGAAUCCGUGUAUUUUUAAAUUUAAACAAAUUCAAAUGAAACCGAACUUUAAUUUUGAAACGAGACAAAUUAACCUCGAACUUGAAUGCGCUUUCACGGCCGGUUUAAUUUAUUUAUUAAAUUUAAUUUUGAAUUUAAAUCAAAUUUAUUCAAAUACUCGAAAUAAUUUAAUUGCAAUCCGGGGCCGGUUUACAGCAAGCGGUUUAAAGUUUAAUUCCGAAUUAAAGAAUAAUUUGUUUUCGUUUUCAAUUCAAUUCGAGGCGCGAAUCCGUGUAUUUUUAAAUUAAAACAAAUUCAAAUGAAAAUUAACCUUGAACUUGAAUGCACUUUCACGGCCGGUUUAAUUUAUUUGUUAAAUUUAAUUUUGAAUUUAAAUCAAAUUUAUUCAAGUACUUGAAAUAAUUUGAUUGUAAUUACGGACCGGUUUACAGCAAGCGAUUUAAAUUUAAUUCAGAAUUAUUUUAUUUCGUUUCGUUUCACGUUUUACGGUUCAAUUAACUGCGUAAUUAAAGGCCGGCUUACAGCAAACGAUUUAAAUUUUAAUUCCGAAUUAAAGAAUAAUUUGUUUUCGUUUUCAAUUCAAUUCGGGACGCGAAUCCGUGUAUUUUUAAAUUUAAACAAAUUCAAAUGAAAACAAUCUUUAAUUUUGAAACAAGACAAAUUAACCUUGAACUUGAAUGCACUUUCACGGCCGGUUUAAUUUAUUUAUUAAAUUUUAACUUUGAAUUUAAACCAAAUUUAUUCAAGUACUCGAAAUAAUUUAAUUGCAAUCAGGGGCCGGUUAAUUUAUUUUCGUUUUCAAUUCAGUUCGAAGCGCGAAUCCGUUUAAGUUUAAAUUUAAACAAAUUCAAAUGAAAAUUAACCUUGAACUUGAAUACACUGCUGGUUUAAUUUAUUUAUUAAAUUUUAAUUUUGAAUUUAAAUCAAAUUUAUUCAAGUACUUGAAAUAAUUUAAUUGCAAUCCGGGGCCGGUUUACAGCAAGCGAAUUAAAUUUAAUUCCGAAUUAAAGAGUAAUUUAUUGUCAUUUUCAAUUUAAUUCGAAGCGCGAAUCCGUGUAUUUUUAAAUUUAAACAAAUUCAAAUGAAAACGAACUUUAAUUUUGAAACGAGACAAAUUAACCUUGAACUUGAAUGCACUUUCACGGCCGGUUUAAUUUAUUUAUUAAAUUUAAUUUUGAAUUUAAAUCAAAUUUAUUCAAGUAUCCGAAAUAAUUUAAUUGCAAUCCGGGGCCGGUUUACAGCAAGCGAUUUAAAGUUUAAUUCCGAAUUAAAGAAUAAUUUGUUUUCGUUUUCAUUUCAAUUCAAAGUGCGAAUCAGUUUAAGUGUAAAUUUAAACAAACUCAAAUGAAAACGAAUUAUUUUACUUUAGAAUUAGAAUUUGUUCUUUCGGUCCACUUUCGUAAAAAAACAUUACGAUGUAAAUGACUAAUCUGUUAGCAUGACAACUUGUAUAAUACAUAAAAGCUAAUGUCAAGAGUACGCUUUUUGCACCUCAAUAUUUUUUAUGAAAGUGAACCGAAAGUAAUUAAUUCGUUUUAAUCUUUUUGGCUUGGCUGCUGCUGUUGUUUCUAUAGCAUCAUUGGCUUGACACUAAUUUAAUAAAUUUUCACCCUCAUUUUGAGACGUUCUGUAGCAAUAAAUUAUUUUAAAAAGACUCUGAUGCUAUUUAAACAUCAGUAUCAUCUUAAUAGAGGUGUGCUUAACGAUUAAAAUUUAUUUACUGCAAUUAUUUCGUCUUUUAUUUUUAAAUUUAACAUUCAUAUCGUCCUACAAUUUGGUACAAAUACGUAUUGAUAAGCACAUCUCUAAUAAAAAAGGGAAGUAUGUACGUAAUUCGGAAAUAGGUUUCAAGUUUACGUGUUCUGAUGUAACUUUUUUUCACCACUACCGAAAGUAGCCAACAAAAUUCAUAAUUUUUGCGCGUCUUUUCUUUUUCUUCUUCGUAAUAUUAUUGCUUCAAAUGGGAAUAGAUGUAACCGCUGAUGCUGACUGACUGCAGUCAAUUCAUUGAAGAAAAAGCUAUGAAUGCAAUUUUACUUGUGAGAUAUUUUCCUCACUCCAAGUAGUUUUUUGCUUGCGUCACCAUCGCCUACUGGGCCAACCGGGGAUUUUGAAUUAAUUCACAUUGUCGCAUCGAAAACAAAUGGUCUCGUAGCGUGGUGCUGAACCAUUGGGAAAAGGAAACUAUCUGAUGAUUAUAAUAAAAGACGUAAGUGAACGUCGCUCCAACUCAUGGCAUGUUGGGGGAAAAGUGGAGGAAAUAAUAAAAAAAAUUUGGAUUCGAUGGAAUUGACUGAUCUAAUUAUGAUUUCUUAAAAGUGGGUUAGUAUGAUUCUCUUGAAUAAGUGGGCACUGAUUAUUUUCCUAUGACUAAAUUUUAUCAAAAUUGAUCAAAAAAAAAAAAAAUUGCAAACCUCUAGAUUUGUUAAUGUAUCACUGGUGUACUAAGCUCGUAGUAAAAUCGAAUAAAGACUCGAUCUCAUUAAUUUGAGUGUGUUAGUCGUGCUGAUGCUCCUCGAUAGACACAUACCUAUAAACGGUAUUAGUUGUCGUGCAAAUACAUAUCUUAGAUAUGUAGAGGAGAUGCUGCGAGCAUAAAAUAGUACACUAAAUACAGGCAUUUUCUAGGAUGGCUUUGCAUUCAUUAAAAAAAUCACAAAUAUACACAAACUAUAAAAAAAAUAAAAAAAAAUAAAAAAUAAACAAAAUAAAAAAUAAAAAAAAUAAAAAAUAAAAAAAAAUAAAAAAUAAAAAAAAAUAAAAAAUAAAAAAAAUGGUCGCAAAAGGAAAUUAAUCAUUGCCUGUUUAUUUAAGAGAAUUGCUUAGGUAGCCCAAGAAUCAUAAUUAGAUCAGUCAAUUUCAUCGCGUCCGCCUCUGCUUUUCUCCCAUUUGCCAUGAGUUUGAGUGGCGUUCCCGUCUUUUAUUAUAAUCAUCACACUGUUUCCUUUUCCUGGUGGUGUCUGCACUGUGCCACGAGACCAUUGCUUUCGAUGUUUCAUUGUGAGUCAAUUUAAAAUCACCAACUGGCCCUUUUAGUCGAUUAUGGCACCAGCAAGAAUUAUUUGGACUGAGAAUAAAAUAUUUUAUGGAAAUUGUUAUCACAUGUGUUACUUCCACCUUCAAGGGUUGCCCAACACGAAUGCAAAGAUUGCAUUAAACAGUCGCCAAAUGUGCCAACCAUUGCAAUUUCCACUUGGAGUUAUGAAUUUUGAGAGCUCAAAAGCUGGUGUCUGUGUUGAAUUGCUUUACAAACUGGUUGCGGCCUGCGGGAUUCGGAGGAUUUCAAAGGCGUUCUUCGUCUGGUUCUUCAGAAAUUAUUUUUUAACUGACAAUAAUUAUCAUUAAACGUUGUUAUAUUUGUGUGAUUGAUUAUGUUUUUUUUAAUAAACGCUAAGGAAA
Tribolium castaneum (red flour beetle) is the source of this 4949-nucleotide long non-coding RNA. RefSeq lists it as uncharacterized. NCBI's taxonomy places the organism in Eukaryota, Metazoa, Arthropoda, Insecta, Coleoptera, Tenebrionidae. The transcript has 4 exons. The record is from RefSeq and is a predicted model, not a curated record.